AUACGUAGGUGACAAGCGUUAUCCGGAUUUACUGGGCGUAAAGGGCGUGUAGGCGGUCUUGCAAGUCAGAAGUGAAAUUCCUGAGCUCAACUCGGGCGCUGCUUCUGAAACUGCAGGACUUGAGUGCUGGAGGGGAUAGCGGAAUUCCUAGUGGAGCGGUAAAAUGCGUAGAUAUUAGGAAGAACACCGGUGGCGAAGGCGGCUAUCUGGACAGUAACUGACGCUGAGGCGCGAAAGCGUGGGGAGCAAAAAGGAUUAGAUCCCCUGGAAGUCCACGCCGUAAACGAUGAAUACUAGGUGUAGGGGGUAUCGACUCCCUCUGUGCCGCAGUUAACACAAUAAGUAUUCCGCCUGGGGAGUUCGGCCGCAAGGUUGAAACUCAAAUGAAUUGACGGGG
This 397-nucleotide ribosomal RNA is filed under the name uncultured bacterium. RNAcentral describes it as "partial 16S ribosomal RNA". It matches the Rfam family "Bacterial small subunit ribosomal RNA", at positions 523 to 918 of the family's 1533-position model. The record is from RNAcentral.